Molecule: long non-coding RNA, 1183 nt
Filed under: Sorghum bicolor (sorghum)
Lineage: Eukaryota; Viridiplantae; Streptophyta; Magnoliopsida; Poales; Poaceae
Description: long non-coding RNA (SBIC_LNC013348)
Source: RNAcentral
AAGUAGGGACUUUGAUAAUUUGAUUCAUCUGGUAGGGUUACGUGGAAACUGAAACCUAAAAUGAUUUGGUAACACGUAAAUUUGGGGCAAAAUUUUACCAUGUAAGAACAUAUAUGAGAUAAUAUCACUUUUGAUAAUAUAUAUAUUUUGCUUUGCUGAAAAGUGAAUCAAUCAGGAGCAUAUACAAACUGCCACAAAAUGUUAUUAAGCAAGUGGCUGUCUUGAUGUAAUUAACUAGAUGAAUUCUAAGGGGAAAAGGGGUGAGAUCUAUGUUAGCAAAUAAAUAGAAGAAAAAGGCUACAAACAGAAGUUAGGACUUAGGAUUGACACACUUUUCUCGGUUUUCUCUCUACUCAACUGAAUUGCAAUGUGAAACUGAAAUCUGUAUGAUUGUAGAUCCUUGAGUACUACCUGUACAGUUGUUUUACAAGUUUUCAUAUUAUGUUUUAAUAACAAAAUGAUAGUAUUUGUCAUGAUAGCUAGUGUAUGAUCCGCAUUAGAUGUCUCCUGGAAAUGCACAUCGCAACUUAUAGCUUAUUGCAUAAAUAUUGGAAGGCUCGAUGGAAUAGACCUAUGGCCUAGGAAAAUAUUGUUAUCAUCCACCACUUUUCGAAAAGCAAACUUCUGUUUACUGCUUUACUUUUCAGCACAGAAACACACAUCACUACCUGGGAUGGCAACAGUGCACAGGCUCUGAGAGUAACAAUUUAACAGAUGCAAUUUUUAUGGUGUGGCCAUUUUGUUCUCUUAUAUAUAUAUACACACACACACACACACACACACACACACACACACAUACACACACAAGAUGCCUAUAUUCUAGAUGAAAUGAGAUAAUCAUUUUUUCAACCGAAAGUCUGUCUGUUUUGUGGCAGUAUACCUGAGAUACACAUUAGCUUCCAUGGAUUGGAUUGUUUAUCUAGAAAUAAUAAUCUGCUAAGGUUUCUGUGUUGUAUUAUACUUGCCUAUAUAAAUAAUAAGAUGCUCUAGUUUUAGCGCACAGCCUUUCACAGAUUGAAUUUUCUUGCAUAUGCAGAUUCAGCAGAAGAAUGAGUUAGCAUUGUGUAUCAGAAGAUUGCUGCUAUCUAUCAGCAUUCAGCAGUUGCACAUUUUUUUCUUGCACACAGCAUAAAUUGGCCCAUGUAGGCUUUAGUUGUUCAAUAUAUGUCCAUUGUUGCCCAGC